CAUUUCUGCUUCUCUUUUUAUUUCCACUAUAUAUAGGAUGAACCCCACACUCAGUAAUUAACUCCACGGCAUCUGCAAUGGAGAACUGAAAUGAGGCCUCAAUGAAACACUCUUCAUCAACAUAGCCGAAUUUAUUAUCACUGAAAGAAAGCAAUACGUGUUCUGGUGAAUCCUUAAAAUCCAAAUCAUCAUCCUCAUCCAAACCCCCAUAGUAAUAUAAAAACAAAUCACGGCUAUGGCUGUAUCCAGAUUCAUCUAUGAAAUCCACUCUGCAUUUAAUGCUGUCUGGAUUACGAUAAUAUUCUGUGGGAUGAAGAACAACGCAGAAAGAAAAGGCAAUUAAGUGACGACGGUUAAGUCUGAAUGAAAGCGAGGAUCCACUUUUAUUCUUAUAACUCAUCCCUUCUGGCACUUCACCUCCUUCAAUAUAUAAUAUAACUUUCUGACCCAACAGAUGUGCUUUCAAUGCAUCCUCCAUAACUUUAUUCUUAUCCAGAUUAACGCAAUUACCAAAAUCAAGAAGUUUGCAAUCUUUAAAAAAAUCUUCUCUUUCACAUAUAUCCGCAUCUUCAUUUUCAUCUGCUGCUUCACUUUCAUCUGCUUCUUCACUUUCAUCUUCAUGUUCUAAGAAAAGGAAAGCAGUUGAUGCAGAUUCCAGAGAGAUGCAAUCUGUUGCAUGUAAGUAUUCUAAGCAUGAUGGAAG
This 703-nucleotide unclassified non-coding RNA is filed under the name Hevea brasiliensis (rubber tree). The record is from RNAcentral. Lineage: Eukaryota; Viridiplantae; Streptophyta; Magnoliopsida; Malpighiales; Euphorbiaceae.